RNAcentral lists this ribosomal RNA (239 nucleotides) under uncultured bacterium. Its description in RNAcentral is "partial 16S ribosomal RNA". It matches the Rfam family "Bacterial small subunit ribosomal RNA", at positions 95 to 334 of the family's 1533-position model. The record is from RNAcentral.
CCGGCGCACGGGUGCGUAACGCGUAUGAAAGGUGUCCAGAACACUGGGAUAGCCCCCGGAAACGGGGAUUAAUACCGGAUGGUCCAUUUGGUCGGCAUCGAUUGAUUGGUAAAGCUCAGGCGGUUCUGGGUCCUCAUGCGUAUGAUUAGCUAGUUGGCGGGGUAAAGGCCCACCAAGGCGACGAUCAUUAGGGGUCCUGAGAGGGAGGUCCCCCACACUGGUACUGAGACACGGGCCAG